UACGUAGGGAGCGAGCGUUGUCCGGAAUUACUGGGUGUAAAGGGAGCGUAGGCGGGGACGCAAGUUGGGUGUAAAAGAUACCGGCUCAACUGGUAUUCGCACUCAAAACUGCGACUCUUGAGUGAAGUAGAGGCAGGCGGAAUUCCUAGUGUAGCGGUGAAAUGCGUAGAUAUUAGGAGGAACACCAGUGGCGAAGGCGGCCUGCUGGGCUUUUACUGACGCUGAGGCUCGAAAGUGUGGGGAGCAAA
RNAcentral lists this ribosomal RNA (248 nucleotides) under uncultured Ruminococcus sp. RNAcentral's name for it is "partial 16S ribosomal RNA". It matches the Rfam family "Bacterial small subunit ribosomal RNA", at positions 524 to 772 of the family's 1533-position model. Lineage: Bacteria; Bacillati; Bacillota; Clostridia; Eubacteriales; Oscillospiraceae. The record is from RNAcentral.